Molecule: ribosomal RNA, 253 nt
Filed under: uncultured bacterium
Lineage: Bacteria
Description: partial 16S ribosomal RNA
Rfam family: Bacterial small subunit ribosomal RNA
Source: RNAcentral
UACGUAGGGGGCAAGCGUUGUCCGGAUUUAUUGGGCGUAAAGCGCUCGCAGGUGGUUCGUCGCGUCGUGCGUGAAAGACCCCGGCUCAACUGGGGGAGGUCGUGCGAUACGGGCGGACUGGAGGCCAGUAGGGGGAUGCGGAAUUCCGGGUGUAGUGGUGAAAUGCGUAGAUAUCGGGAGGAACACCAGUGGCGAAGGCGGCUUCCUGGCCUGUUCUUGACGCUGAGGCGCGAAAGCUAGGGUAGCAAACGGG